Rhinopithecus bieti (black snub-nosed monkey) is the source of this 293-nucleotide unclassified non-coding RNA. It matches the Rfam family "Metazoan signal recognition particle RNA". Rfam says of the family: The signal recognition particle (SRP) is a universally conserved ribonucleoprotein. It is involved in the co-translational targeting of proteins to membranes. The record is from Ensembl. Lineage: Eukaryota; Metazoa; Chordata; Mammalia; Primates; Cercopithecidae.
GCUGGAUGUGGUGUGUGCCUGUAGUCCCAGCUACUCGGGAGGCUGAGGCAGGAGGAUCAAUUGAGUUCAGGAGUUCUGGACUGUAGUGUGCUGUGCUGAUUGGGUGUCUGCACUAAGUUUGACAUCAAUAAGGUGACCUCCCAGGAGUGGGGGACCACCAGGUUGCCCAAGGAGGGGUAGAUCAGCCCAGAUCCAAAAUGGAGCAGGUCAGAACUCCCGUGCUGAUCAGUGGGACUGCACCUGUGAAUAGCCACUGCACUCCAGCCUGGGCAGCAUAGUGAGACCUUGUUUCU